This 981-nucleotide ribosomal RNA is filed under the name Cantharellus hainanensis. RNAcentral describes it as "partial large subunit ribosomal RNA". It matches the Rfam family "Eukaryotic large subunit ribosomal RNA", at positions 1 to 978 of the family's 3401-position model. Lineage: Eukaryota; Fungi; Basidiomycota; Agaricomycetes; Cantharellales; Hydnaceae. The record is from RNAcentral.
UUACCUCAGGUCAGAGAAGACUACCCGCUGGACUUAAGCAUAUCAAUAAGCGGAGGAAAAGAAACUAACUAGGAUUCCCCCAGUAACUGCGAGUGAAGAGGGAAGAGCUCAUCAUUGGAAUCUGGCGGCGUUGCGCUGUCCGAGUUGUAGAUGAGGAGUAGUCCAUCUGGACUGCAUGGCGUCCAAGUACAAUAGGCCAUCAGUGGGACAUCAUAGAGGGUGACAAUCCCGUCCUUGAUGCCAAUGUGCAAGUCCGUUACGAUGGCUAUCUCAGAGAGUCGAGCAGUUUGGGAUUUGCUGCUUAAACAUGGGAGGUAGAUUCCUUCUAAAGCUAAAUACAGGCGAGAGACCGAUAGAGAACAAGUACCGCAAGGGAAAGAUGAAAUAGAACUCUGUGAAGGGAGUCAAAAGGCGUGAAAUUGUUGCGAGAGAAGCGAUUCAAGUCAGCGUAGCUAGGCCCAUCAAGCCUCUUCGCUUUGGACUAGCUUUGCCAGCGGUCUUGUCCCUUUAGAGACUUGACUUUUUUUGUAAUGUCCAGCCUGGUAUGCACAGGUAGCCCCUCCUCUCUUCUGAGGGGGGGGGCCAGUUGACAUGGCUGGUGGAAUGGCUUGCAAUCGACCCGUCUUGAAACACGGACCAAGGAGUCUAACAUGUAUGCGAGUAUAAGGGUGGCAAACCCGUAUGCGCAAUGAAAGUAACUUUCGAUGAUUGAGAAUGGCCUGAUGACCAGACAAGCAAUAUUAUGUCCCUCGUACGGCCAUUGCCCAAGUUCCGUGGUAGAUCCCAUGAACAUGGAGUUGGAGCAUACAUGCUAGGACCCGAAAGAUGGUGAACUAUGCCUGGACAAAGCGAAGCCAAAGGAAACUCUGGUGGAGGCUUGUAGCGAUUCUGACGUGCAAAUCGAUCGUCUGAUCUGGGUAUAGGGGCGAAAGACUAAUCGAACCAUCUCAUAGCUGGUUCCUGCCGAAGUUUCCCUCAGGA